AACGAACGCUGGCGGCAGGCCUAACACAUGCAAGUCGAGCGAAUCGCAAGGUUAGCGGCGGACGGGUGAGUAACGCGUGGGAACGUGCCCUUUGCUACGGAAUAGCCCUGGGAAACUGGGAGUAAUACCGUAUGUGCCCUUUGGGGGAGAGAUUUAUCGGCAAAGGAUCGGCCCGCGUUGGAUUAGGUAGUUGGUGGGGUAAUGGCCUACCAAGCCGACGAUCCAUAGCUGGCUUGAGAGGAUGAUCAGCCACACUGGGACCGAGACACGGCCCAGACUCCUACGGGAGGCAGCAGUGGGGAAUCUUAGACAAUGGGGGAAACCCUGAUCUAGCCAUGCCGCGUGAGCGAUGAAGGCCUUAGGGUUGUAAAGCUCUUUCAGUGGGGAAGAUAAUGACGGUACCCACAGAAGAAGCCCCGGCUAACUCCGUGCCAGCAGCCGCGGUAA
This 447-nucleotide ribosomal RNA is filed under the name uncultured bacterium. Its description in RNAcentral is "partial 16S ribosomal RNA". It matches the Rfam family "Bacterial small subunit ribosomal RNA", at positions 29 to 523 of the family's 1533-position model. The record is from RNAcentral.